UAGGUAUAUGAUCUGUAGGUGUGGGUAUAUGGUCAGUAGGUGUAGGUAUAUGGUCAGGAGAUGUAGGUAUAUGGUCAGUAGGUGUCAAUAUCUGGUGAGUAGCUGUAGAUAUAUAGUCAGUAGGUGUCAGUAUAUGGUCAGUAGGUCUAGGUAUAUGAUCUGUAGAUGUGGGUAUAUGGUCAGUAGGUGUAGGUAUAUGGUCAGUAGGUGUAGGUAUAUGGUCAGGAGAUGUAGGUAUAUGGUCAGUAGGUGUAGGUAUAUGAUCCGUAGGUGUAGGUAUAUGAUCAGUAGGUGUAGGUAUAUGAUCAGUAGGUGUAGGUAGAUGGUCAGUAGGUGUAGGUAUAUGGUCAGUAGGUGUAGGUAUAUGAUCAGUAGGUGUAGGUAUAUGGUCAGUAGGUGUAGGUAUAUGAUCAGUAGAUGCAGGUAUAUGGUCAGUAGGUGUAGGUAUAUGGUCAGUAGGUGUCAGUAUCUGUCAGUAUCUGGUCAGUAGGUGUAGGUAUAUGGUCAGUAGGUGUAGGUAUAUGAUCAGUAGAUGCAGGUAUAUGGUCAGUAGGUGUAGGUAUAUGGUCAGUUGGUGUCAGUAUCUGUCAGUAUCUGGUCAGUAGGUGUGGGUAUAUGGUCAGUAGGUGUCAGUAUCUGUAAGUAUCUGGUCAGUAGGUGUAGGGAUAUGGUCAGUAGCUGUAGGUAUAUGGUCAGUAGAUGCAGGUAUAUGGUCAGUAGGUGUAGGUAUAUGGUCAGUAGGUGUCAGUAUCUGGUCAGUAGGUGUAGGUAUAUGGUCAGUAGGUUUAGGUAUAUGGUCAGUAGAUGCAGGUAUAUGGUCAGUAGGUGUAGGUAUAUGAUCAGUAGGUGUAGGUAUAUGGUAAGUAGGUGUAUAUAGUCAGUAGGUGUCGGUAUCUGGUCAGAAGGUGUAGGUAUAUGGUCAGUAGAUGCAGGUAUAUGAUCAGUAGGUGUAGGUAUAUGAUCAAUAGGUGUAGGUAUUUAAUCAGUAGGUGCAGGGAUAUAAUCAGUAGGUGUAGGUAUAUGGUCAGGAGAUGUAGGUAUAUGGUCAGUAGGUGUAGGUAUAUGGUCAGUAGGUGUAUAUAGUCAGUAGGUGUCGAUAUCUGGUCAGAAGGUGUAGGUAUAUGGUCAGUAGAUGCAGGUAUAUGGUCAGUAGGUGUGGGUAUAUGAUCGGUAGGUGUAGGUAUAUGGUCAGUAGGUGUAUAUAGUCAGUAGGUGUCGAUAUCUGGUCAGAAGGUGUAGGUAUAUGGUCAGUAGAUGCAGGUAUAUGAUCAGUAGGUACAGGUAUAUAAUCAGUAGGUGCAGGAAUAUGAUCAGUAGGUGUAGGUAGAUGGUCAGUAGGUGUAGGUAUAUGGUCAGUAGGUGCAGGUAUAUGAUCAGUAGGUACAGGGAUAUAAUCAGUAGGUGUAGGUAUAUGGUCAGGAGACGUAGGUAUAUGGUCAGUAGGUGUAGGUAUAUGGUCAGGAGAUGUAGGUAUAUGGUCAGUAGGUGUAGGUAUAUGAUCAGUAGGUGCAGGGAUAUAAUCAGUAGGUGUAGGAAUAUGAUCAAU
Long non-coding RNA from Astyanax mexicanus (Mexican tetra), 1546 nucleotides. RefSeq lists it as uncharacterized. The transcript has 5 exons. Lineage: Eukaryota; Metazoa; Chordata; Actinopteri; Characiformes; Acestrorhamphidae. The record is from RefSeq and is a predicted model, not a curated record.